GACGAACGCUGGCGGCGUGCUUAACACAUGCAAGUCGAACGGAAAGGCCCUGCUUUUGUGGGGUGCUCGAGUGGCGAACGGGUGAGUAACACGUGAGUAACCUGCCCUUGACUUUGGGAUAACUUCAGGAAACUGGGGCUAAUACCGGAUAGGAGCUCCUGCUGCAUGGUGGGGGUUGGAAAGUUUCGGCGGUUGGGGAUGGACUCGCGGCUUAUCAGCUUGUUGGUGGGGUAGUGGCUUACCAAGGCUUUGACGGGUAGCCGGCCUGAGAGGGUGACCGGCCACAUGGGGACUGAGAUACGGCCCAGACUCCUACGGGAGGCAGCAGUGGCGAGUAUUGCACAAUGGGCGCAAGCCUGAUGCGACGACGCCGCGUGCGGGAUGACGGCCUUCGGGUUGUAAACCGCUUUCGCCUGAGACGAAGCGUGAGUGACGGUAAUGGGUAAAGAAGCACCGGCUAACUACGUG
This 468-nucleotide ribosomal RNA is filed under the name uncultured bacterium. RNAcentral describes it as "partial 16S ribosomal RNA". It matches the Rfam family "Bacterial small subunit ribosomal RNA", at positions 28 to 507 of the family's 1533-position model. The record is from RNAcentral.